GCUAUCAUGCAGUCGAGGGGCAGCAUGAGUGUAGCAAUACAUUUGAUGGCGACCGGCAAACGGGUGCGGAACACGUACACAACCUUCCUUCGAGCGGGGAAUAGCCCAGAGAAAUUUGGAUUAAUACCCCAUAGUAAAUUGAAAAGGCAUCUUUUUAAUUUUAAAGAUUUAUCACUUGAAGAUGGGUGUGCGGCUGAUUAGGUAGUUGGCGGGGUAACGGCCCACCAAGCCUGCGAUCAGUAACUGGUGUGAGAGCACGACCAGUCACACGGGCACUGAGACACGGGCCCGACUCCUACGGGAGGCAGCAGUAAGGAAUAUUGGUCAAUGGACGAAAGUCUGAACCAGCCAUGCCGCGUGGAGGAUGAAGGUCCUCUGGAUUGUAAACUUCUUUUAUCUGGGACGAAAAAAGGCUUUUCUAAGUCGUCUGACGGUACCAGAUGAAUAAGCACCGGCUAACUCCGUGCCAGCAGCCGCGGUAAUACGGAGGGUGCAAGCGUUAUCCGGAUUCACUGGGUUUAAAGGGUGCGUAGGUGGGUUGGUAAGUCAGUGGUGAAAUCCCCAAGCUUAACUUGGGAACUGCCAUUGAUACUAUCAGUCUUGAAUACCCGUGGAGGUCAGCGGAAUAUGUCAUGUAGCGGUGAAAUGCUUAGAUAUGACAUAGAACACCAAUUGCGAAUGCAGCUGGCUACACGAAUAUUGACACUGAGCACGAAAGCCGUGGGGAUCAAACAGGAUUAGAUACCCUGGUAGUCCACGCCCUUA
This 765-nucleotide ribosomal RNA is filed under the name uncultured bacterium. Its description in RNAcentral is "bacterial SSU rRNA". It matches the Rfam family "Bacterial small subunit ribosomal RNA", at positions 46 to 805 of the family's 1533-position model. The record is from RNAcentral.